CCUACGGGAGGCAGCAGUGGGGGAUAUUGCACAAUGGGGGAAACCCUGAUGCAGCGACGCCGCGUGGGCGAAGAAGUAUUUCGGUAUGUAAAGCCCUAUCAGCAGGGAAGAAGAAAUGACCGUACCUGCGUCAGAAGCACCCGCUAAAUACGUGCCAGCAGCCGUGGUAAUACGUAUGGUGCAAGCGUUAUCCGGAUUUACUGGGAGCAAAGGGAGCGCAGGCGGCAGGGCAAGCCUGAUGUGAAAGCCCGCGGCCCAACCGCGGGACUGCAUUGGGAACUACCGGGCUGGAGUGCCGGAGAGGUAGGCGGAAUUCCUAGUGUAGCGGUGAAAUGCGUAGAUAUUAGGAGGAACACCAGUGGCGAAGGCGGCCUACUGGACGGUGACUGACGCUGAGGCUCGAAAGCGUGGGGAGCAAACAGGAUUAGAUACCCUGGUAGUC
Molecule: ribosomal RNA, 442 nt
Filed under: uncultured bacterium
Lineage: Bacteria
Description: partial 16S ribosomal RNA
Rfam family: Bacterial small subunit ribosomal RNA
Source: RNAcentral